RNAcentral lists this ribosomal RNA (465 nucleotides) under Vreelandella stevensii. RNAcentral describes it as "partial 16S ribosomal RNA". It matches the Rfam family "Bacterial small subunit ribosomal RNA", at positions 338 to 795 of the family's 1533-position model. The record is from RNAcentral. Lineage: Bacteria; Pseudomonadati; Pseudomonadota; Gammaproteobacteria; Oceanospirillales; Halomonadaceae.
CCUACGGGUGGCAGCAGUGGGGAAUAUUGGACAAUGGGCGAAAGCCUGAUCCAGCCAUGCCGCGUGUGUGAAGAAGGCCUUCGGGUUGUAAAGCACUUUCAGUGGGGAAGAAAGCCUUGUGGCUAAUACCCUCGAGGAAGGACAUCACCCACAGAAGAAGCACCGGCUAACUCCGUGCCAGCAGCCGCGGUAAUACGGAGGGUGCGAGCGUUAAUCGGAAUUACUGGGCGUAAAGCGCGCGUAGGCGGUCUGAUAAGCUGGUUGUGAAAGCCCCGGGCUCAACCUGGGAACGGCAUCCGGAACUGUCAGGCUAGAGUGCAGGAGAGGAAGGUAGAAUUCCCGGUGUAGCGGUGAAAUGCGUAGAGAUCGGGAGGAAUACCAGUGGCGAAGGCGGCCUUCUGGACUGACACUGACGCUGAGGUGCGAAAGCGUGGGUAGCAAACAGGAUUAGAUACCCUAGUAGUC